UCAAUCCAGAGAGCCCUGCUGGUCCAGCACUGUUUCCAACAGCAAUCAAGAGGAAAUGUUUAAAGAGAAGAAUAAACUACUUAUAGAAAAAUAAAGUGUCUGUGCCUCCAGCAACCACUGAUGUAGACAUCUUCAGGAGACUACAUUUAUACAACCAGGCUUAACAGCCUCCACUAUGUCUAUCUGUUGAAAUUUCCCCCUUUUUGGGGCUGUUUUUUAAAUAAAAAGAUAAUACCUCGGGUAUAUCCAGUGGCAAUGUCCCACUUUCCUGGUUUAUUCCCAGCUGAUGAAGCCAUGGGUGAUUCUGUGCCUUCACAGUGCCCUGGAAAGUGCCUGCUCUGCACCUGGGGCAGUUUGGUGGAGUUAGGCUGACUUCAGACAGGAUGAUCUUCUACGACUUUUCUGCAACUUCAAAAGAGGUUCACAAAGCCAUGUGCCACAUGAAGCACCUGGGGUGGUCCUCUGCUGAUGUCAAAUAAUUCAGUUUCCACUUCCUCUGGAUGUGCAAGACUCACAGCUACAUUCCUUGCAAAUGAGGUCUGAAGUAACAUACAUUUCCAGGACUAGAAGUCUACAACACUGGAAGUUGAGCAUCAUCUUAAACUCCUUGACCACAGACAUGGGAAGUUUGCAAAAAGAAAUGUGCAUGCCAAAAGCAUGUCUCCUUCACUCAUGUCAAUAUUGGCAAUGCAUGGGGAGCCUGAAAAAAUGCAGGUUUAAACACUUAAACAUUAAGGAUGUAAUUUGUUGUUUUUUAAAUCUCACUAAUUGUUCAUUAAGUAGUACUCUUGCCCUUCUCCCCAUCCCUGGAGUGAAUUGAAAAGCUGGGACAAAAGUGUGAGUGAGUCACAAGUGAAAGAAUUUGUUUAACCCCUGAUGUAGGAGUAGCAGUUUUAGCUUCCUGAGCUAUGUGAAAUUAAUUCCACAAUAAAUGAUGUAGAGCUAAUUGCA
Molecule: long non-coding RNA, 951 nt
Filed under: Cyanistes caeruleus (blue tit)
Lineage: Eukaryota; Metazoa; Chordata; Aves; Passeriformes; Paridae
Description: lncRNA (ENSCCEG00000001952.1)
Source: RNAcentral